Molecule: ribosomal RNA, 482 nt
Filed under: uncultured bacterium
Lineage: Bacteria
Description: bacterial SSU rRNA
Rfam family: Bacterial small subunit ribosomal RNA
Source: RNAcentral
UUGAACGCUGGCGGCAUGCUUUACACAUGCAAGUCGAACGGCAGCGGGGGCUUCGGCCUGCCGGCGAGUGGCGAACGGGUGAGUAAUGCAUCGGAACGUACCCAGUCGUGGGGGAUAACUACGCGAAAGCGUGGCUAAUACCGCAUACGCCCUGAGGGGGAAAGCGGGGGACCUUCGGGCCUCGCGCGAUUGGAGCGGCUGAUGUCGGAUUAGCUAGUUGGUGGGGUAAAGGCCUACCAAGGCGACGAUCCGUAGCUGGUCUGAGAGGAUGAUCCGCCACACUGGGACUGAGACACGGCCCAGACUCCUACGGGAGGCAGCAGUGGGGAAUUUUGGACAAUGGGGGCAACCCUGAUCCAGCCAUGCCGCGUGCGGGAAGAAGGCCUUCGGGUUGUAAACCGCUUUCGGACGGAAAGAAAUCGCAUGGACUAAUACUCUGUGUGGAUGACGGUACCGUAAGAAGAAGCACCGGCUAACUACGU